UACGUAGGGUGCGAGCGUUGUCCGGAAUUAUUGGGCGUAAAGAGCUCGUAGGCGGUGUGUCACGUCGGCCGUGAAAACCUGCAGCUUAACUGUGGGCGUGCGGGCGAUACGGGCAGACUGGAGUACUGCAGGGGAGACUGGAAUUCCUGGUGUAGCGGUGGAAUGCGCAGAUAUCAGGAGGAACACCGGUGGCGAAGGCGGGUCUCUGGGCAGUAACUGACGCUGAGGCGCGAAAGCGUGGGGAGCAAACAGG
RNAcentral lists this ribosomal RNA (253 nucleotides) under uncultured bacterium. RNAcentral's name for it is "partial 16S ribosomal RNA". It matches the Rfam family "Bacterial small subunit ribosomal RNA", at positions 524 to 776 of the family's 1533-position model. The record is from RNAcentral.